AACGCGAAGAACCUUACCAGGCCUUGACAUGGGGAGUAUGGAUAGCAGAAAAGUUAUCCUUCAGUUUGGCUGGCUCCCACACAGGUGCUGCAUGGCUGUCGUCAGCUCGUGUCGUGAGAUGUUGGGUUAAGUCCCGCAACGAGCGCAACCCUCAUCCUUAGUUGCCAACAGGUCAAGCUGGGAACUCUAAGGAAACUGCCGGUGAUAAGCCGGAGGAAGGUGGGGAUGACGUCAAGUCUUCAUGGCCCUUACGGCCUGGGCUACACACGUGCUACAAUGGCGGUGACAAUGGGCAGCUAACCCGCGAGGGCCCGCUAAUCCCAAAAAGCCGUCUCAGUUCGGAUUGCACUCUGCAACUCGAGUGCAUGAAGCUGGAAUCGCUAGUAAUCGUAGAUCAGCAUGCUACGGUGAAUACGUUCCCGGGCCUUGUACACACCGCUGUA
Molecule: ribosomal RNA, 443 nt
Filed under: uncultured bacterium
Lineage: Bacteria
Description: bacterial SSU rRNA
Rfam family: Bacterial small subunit ribosomal RNA
Source: RNAcentral